UACGUAGGGAGCGAGCGUUGUCCGGAUUUACUGGGCGUAAAGGGCGCGUAGGCGGUCUGUUAAGCGUGAAGUGAAAUCUCCAGGGCUCAACCCGGAAACUGCUUUGCGAACUGGCAGACUAGAGGAAGGUAGAGGUAAGUGGAAUUCCCGGUGUAGCGGUGACAUGCAUUGAUACCGGGAGGAACACCCAUGGCGAAGGCAGCUUACUGGACCUUAUCUGACGCUGAGGCGCGAAAGCGUGGGUAGCAAACAGG
Molecule: ribosomal RNA, 254 nt
Filed under: uncultured bacterium
Lineage: Bacteria
Also listed under: 1 other name
Description: partial 16S ribosomal RNA
Rfam family: Bacterial small subunit ribosomal RNA
Source: RNAcentral